GACAAGAUGAGAGAAAAGAAGGAAGGGAGGAUACUGCCUUGCACUCCUAGUAUUGGAGGCCUCUGAGCCUUCUGUUGGGAAGAACAGAGGAAAUUAGAAGCUGGUAGUCCUGGUCUCCCCUUCUGCACAACCCGCCAUGGCCCCCACUCCCAGAUCCAGUAGCUCACAGAGGAGCAGCAUGGUAGAGAAAAUCAGACGAUGACAUCAAGAAACCAGGGAUGUUUUGGAGGCCCACUGAGAGAACUGAUGUAAAAUGCUCUAAAGAUGAAGAGAAUUACAACAAAUCACUCAUGGAUGGAGGCAGAACAAGUUCAGCUCAGCUUCAUGGGACUGGCCAGUUCUUACUGUGGUCCUAGGAGGUAGGAUUCAUGGUCUUCUGUGUCUGUUCACAGCCCAAGAACAGGAAGAAGGGACAGAACAUGUUUCUGAGCUCCUGCACUGGGGCAUGAACACAGUUUGCAUUCCCGCAUAUAUGUCAAUGUCUUUACCCACAUAUACAGUUUGUAUUCACAUUUAUAUGUCAAUGUCUAUACCCACAUAUGGGUCAUAGGUUGGCUUCUUCAGAGCAGACGUUGACAUGGAGAUUCAUAUGCAAGUGAUUUAUUUAAGGAAAUGUUUCUCCUAGAAACUCCCAGUAAGGGAGUAAAGAAAGCAGGACAGGAAGGAGAAAGAGCCAAAUAAGGCUGUGUUCUCAGGCAAAAGUCCUGCAGAGGGUAGAUUUGAGCCUGAUCCUGAAGGGGAAGUCUGAAGUAUACAUCAUCCCAACUCAAGGCAAGGGAGCUGGGCUUUCACUCUCCCCCUUCCAACAUCCAACAAUCAUUGUAAACUCCCAGACACCUCUAGCUGUCUGUACUAAUGGGCUAGUGCUAAUUCCCAGUAGCCUAAGAGCUAUUCACCAAAGAAGAGCCAGGAGUGCUUUUGAAAGCAUAUUAAGUGAGGUGUGGUGACUUCUGUGGAGCACCAACAUUUUCUGCUAGAAUGUUCCUAGGUGUGCUGGUCUCCCCAGCCUCACUGGCUAUCUCUUCUCAGUUUUCUUUAAGAGUUCCACUUCCUCUAUGCCUUAAAUGAUGGCAUUUCACCUGCUUAAAACUCUUCCCUGGUUCCUGACUGCCUUGAGGAUAAAGUACAAGUCCCUUCACAUGAUUAAGAAGUCCCUUCAUCCUCUGCCCUCUGCUGACUACCCCCAAGCCUCAUCUUUCACAUGGCCCCUCACUCUACUGCAACCAGACAAGACCUUGCUGUUGUAUAGGAAUUGUAGAGGGGUCCCACAAAGCCUUAAAACUGCUCAUAGACCACGGGAGAAGACAGAAAUGUGACAGGCAAAUCUAGAAGUUUAUGGGAAUAGAGAUAAGAUACCUAACUUAGCCUGGGUUCAAUGAAGACUUCCCAUGAGGAACAAAUGUGAAGGCAAAACAGGAAGAUAAGUGUAGAAAGAGUGAUCCUGGCAGGAUUUGCAGCACUGGGGAGAGGUGGGGAAUUGUGAGCAGGCAUGGAACAGAGUGGUCACAAAAUAAAUAUUUGUGCAAUGAAUACAUGAGUGAAUAGCCACACAAGUUUUACACAUUAUGGGCUUUGGAAUUUAAAAGCCUUGAUUCCUGUCUCCUCCUAAUUACUCACUGAGAAACCUCAAACAACUUAUUUAACCACUCUGAACCUCAGUUUUCUCAUUUGGAAAAUGGGGCUAAUGAAAAUAUCUGAUAUGAAACCAUGGGUGCAAAAAUAUUCUGUAAGCUGCAAAACCCUGUUCAAAUAUUGGCUUUCAUUCAUUUAUUUAUUCAAAGAAUAGUUUUGAGUUCCUACUGUAUUCCAGGUCAUGCGCUGGGAAUUUGUCCUGGAAAUAGGAACUAGAUGGGGACUCUGUUUCCAAGUAGAGAGGAGAAAAGUUUAGGAGAGGAGGCAAGGAGACAAGAGAGGAGAGAAGUUUAGCUCAUAAUGAGACAUGUUGCCAUAGUUACAAUCUGGGAGCUGAGAGAGCUCAGUGAAGGUUUCACAAAGAAGGUAAAAUUUGUAUAAGUGUGCCCUGAUGGCUAAGGGUGGGUGUGUCAAGUGAAGGAGGGGUCCAAGUAGAGAGAAAAUAUAUGAAGACACAGGGGGUUAAAAAACGGUGUGUUUAGACCAGGGGGAUUGGUCUGGAUGGCAUAGUGUAUGUGGGAUGGUGGUAGGAUGUGAAAAGGAAUGAGAAAGUCUUGUGAGGUCAAAUCAUAGAGAGGAAAUUUGAAUAUUUUUCUAUAGGUAUUGGGGACCCUUUUCGGCAUGAGAGUUGCAGUGGCACUGAGAUGACAGGAAUAAGUGAGCAAAGCCUGUUUGAGGUCUAGGAAGAAGAGGUAUGGUAACGGUACCUUAAGAACUGGAGAAACUUCUGGACCUUCACUGCCAAUGCACAACCAUCACCGCCACCAAGCUUCAGCAAUCUCUCCCUUGGACAGCUACCUGCUGUGAAAAUACUUGCUCAAUGUGGUUCCUCUUGAAAAUGUUGUUCCUGCAUUAUGACUUUCAUUACACAUUUCCCAAUGAGCUUUGUUUGGUUAUUUUACUUGUGUUUCUAUUGACAGGGCAUAGGAUGAAACACCUUCUAAUUACCUCUGAAUAUCUUUACUGGUUAUCUAUGGCUGUGUACAAACCAUCCAAAACUCAGUGGCUUAACACACCCAUUUACAGAGGUCAUGAUUCUGUAGGUUUGUAUUUGGGCUAUCCUCAGGCAGGCAGUUCCACUGCUGAUCUUGGCUGGGCUCAUUCACUUUGUGUAUAGUUUUGGGUCAGUUGGGAAGCUCUGCUUUGGAGAUAGGCUGGCUAUCAACUCUGUGGUUAUGGGUAUCAACUGAGCCAUGUGUUUUUUAUCAUCUAGGAGGGUAGUCUGGGCUUGAGCACAUGACAGUAGUCUCAGUAUUCCAAGAAGAGCAAGAGAUGUAGCUGCAAUGCCUCUUGAACUAGGCUUAUAACUCACCCAGUGUCAUUUAUAUUAUUGGCCAAAGCAAGUCACAAAGCCAGCCUGAAAUGCACUCCACCUUAUGAUGGGAGAAUUUGCAAAGUGCUGUGGCAAUUUUCCCAAUAUGCUUCAAGGUGUAUAAACUUUCUUCCAUUAAUCCUGGCAUACGCAAGGAGGAAAGAAUGGAAAACAUUCCAAAGAAAGUUUUUGUUAUUGUUGUUAUUUUCUAUAACCAUAAAAAAGACUGGAAGCAUGAUGAUUCCCUAUUGUUUACACAUUAUCAUUAUUAUUUAUUGAGCACCUCAUAUGUGCCAGAGACCAGUCAAAUAACAAUGAAAAAGAUAUACACAGUACUUGUUCCCAUGGGGCUUACAGUCUGA
Molecule: long non-coding RNA, 3306 nt
Filed under: Pan troglodytes (chimpanzee)
Lineage: Eukaryota; Metazoa; Chordata; Mammalia; Primates; Hominidae
Description: lincRNA
Source: RNAcentral